This 253-nucleotide ribosomal RNA is filed under the name uncultured bacterium. Its description in RNAcentral is "partial 16S ribosomal RNA". It matches the Rfam family "Bacterial small subunit ribosomal RNA", at positions 524 to 776 of the family's 1533-position model. The record is from RNAcentral.
UACGUAGGGGGCAAGCGUUGUUCGGAAUUACUGGGCGUAAAGGGCGCGUAGGCGGCACGGCAAGUCAGGAGUGAAAGCCCGGGGCUCAACCCCGGAAUGUCUUUUGAAACUGCCGAGCUAGAGUGCGGAAGAGGCAACUGGAAUUCCCAGUGUAGCGGUGAAAUGCGUAGAUAUUGGGAGGAACACCUGAGGCGAAGGCGGGUUGCUGGGCCGACACUGACGCUGAUGCGCGAAAGCCAGGGGAGCGAAUGGG